RNAcentral lists this unclassified non-coding RNA (184 nucleotides) under uncultured fungus. Its description in RNAcentral is "sequence contains ITS1". Lineage: Eukaryota; Fungi. The record is from RNAcentral.
UUUUACUUUUUUGGUAUAGACUUUACUGACAAGACUGCAGUGUGUGGUACUUCGGCGGGCGCGUCGAUGCGACGGCCUGUUAAGCUUCCCGCCGAGGUAGGAAGGGGAGUACUCAGGUGUGGAGAUGAUCGGUUUACCCAAUCGAUUCUCAGUAAUGAUCCUUCCGAAGGUUCACCUACGGAAA